ACGGCUCAGGGGUAGAGCAUCUGCCUUGCAAGCAGCAGGUCCCACGUUCAAUCCCCGGCAUCUCUA
Non-coding RNA from Podarcis lilfordi (Lilford's wall lizard), 66 nucleotides. The record is from the annotation of a GenBank genome assembly. Lineage: Eukaryota; Metazoa; Chordata; Lepidosauria; Squamata; Lacertidae.